UACGUAGGGUGCAAGCGUUAAUCGGAAUUACUGGGCGUAAAGCGUGCGCAGGCGGCUUUGCAAGACAGAUGUGAAAUCCCCGGGCUUAACCUGGGAACUGCAUUUGUGACUGCAUGACUGGAGUGCGGCAGAGGGGGAUGGAAUUCCGCGUGUAGCAGUGAAAUGCGUAGAUAUGCGGAGGAACACCGAUGGCGAAGGCAAUCCCCUGGGCCUGCACUGACGCUCAUGCACGAAAGCGUGGGGAGCAAACAGG
This 253-nucleotide ribosomal RNA is filed under the name uncultured bacterium. RNAcentral describes it as "partial 16S ribosomal RNA". It matches the Rfam family "Bacterial small subunit ribosomal RNA", at positions 524 to 776 of the family's 1533-position model. The record is from RNAcentral.